Molecule: long non-coding RNA, 512 nt
Organism: Peromyscus eremicus (cactus mouse)
Lineage: Eukaryota; Metazoa; Chordata; Mammalia; Rodentia; Cricetidae
Exons: 2
Source: RefSeq, a predicted model, not a curated record
UUAAUUGUUUCAUACGUGUCUGUGAUCAGCGCAAUGAAAAGGCUGAGAAUCAUGUAUAUGAAGAGGCUGAUGAAGGAGUAGAGGUAGAUUCGGCUGAACAGCCACACCAGGUGAGUUUGACUGGCUUCACUUUAGAGGGUGUGAACAGGAAUGAAACCUGCUACUCCUGAGCCUAGGCCACAUGACACGGGAGAGCUGCCCCCAGCUGGGGUUUUCACUUCCCACGGGCUGUAGCCAGUUCAUGAGGCAACCCUGUGUCGAUCAUGAAGUCAGGACGAGCUCUUAACUUCUGACAAAGAACAAAUGAAGAGACUUCAGGUCCCUGAAUGACUGCACGGAGCUGAACAACCUGCCAAUGUAGAGCCCCACCCUAACUGUCUCAGGAAAGAGAACAAGCUGCCCUUUGACCCUGCCCCUGUGUUGUGAGUCUGCCUACGUUUAUAACCAGCUUCCUAGAUGAUGUGCAGUUAAUUACAGCAAGAAAGUAUAAAGUUGAGCAAGAUUCAUUUGAA